RNAcentral lists this ribosomal RNA (253 nucleotides) under uncultured bacterium. Its description in RNAcentral is "partial 16S ribosomal RNA". It matches the Rfam family "Bacterial small subunit ribosomal RNA", at positions 524 to 776 of the family's 1533-position model. The record is from RNAcentral.
AACGUAGGGGGCAAGCGUUGCCCGGAUUCACUGGGCGUAAAGCGGGUGUAGGCGGUUCUUUAAGUCAGAUGUGAAAUCCUGCGGCUCAACCGCGGAACUGCAUCUGAUACUGGGGAACUUGAGGACGGUAGAGGUCGGUGGAAUCCCCUGUGUACCGGUGAAAUGGGCAGAUAUAGGGGGGAACACCAGUGGCGAAGGCGGCCGACUGGGCCGAUCCUGACGCUGAGACCCGAAAGCCAGGGUAGCGAACCGG